RNAcentral lists this ribosomal RNA (1521 nucleotides) under metagenome. RNAcentral describes it as "bacterial SSU rRNA". It matches the Rfam family "Bacterial small subunit ribosomal RNA". The record is from RNAcentral.
AGAGUUUGAUCAUGGCUCAGAUUGAACGCUGGCGGCAGGCCUAACACAUGCAAGUCGAACGGUAACAGGAAACAGCUUGCUGUUUCGCUGACGAGUGGCGGACGGGUGAGUAAUGUCUGGGAAACUGCCUGAUGGAGGGGGAUAACUACUGGAAACGGUAGCUAAUACCGCAUAACGUCGCAAGACCAAAGAGGGGGACCUUCGGGCCUCUUGCCAUCAGAUGUGCCCAGAUGGGAUUAGCUAGUAGGUGGGGUAACGGCUCACCUAGGCGACGAUCCCUAGCUGGUCUGAGAGGAUGACCAGCCACACUGGAACUGAGACACGGUCCAGACUCCUACGGGAGGCAGCAGUGGGGAAUAUUGCACAAUGGGCGCAAGCCCGAUGCAGCCAUGCCGCGUGUAUGAAGAAGGCCUUCGGGUUGUAAAGUACUUUCAGCGGGGAGGAAGGGAGUAAAGUUAAUACCUUUGCUCAUUGACGUUACCCGCAGAAGAAGCACCGGCUAACUCCGUGCCAGCAGCCGCGGUAAUACGGAGGGUGCAAGCGUUAAUCGGAAUUACUGGGCGUAAAGCGCACGCAGGCGGUUUGUUAAGUCAGAUGUGAAAUCCCCGGGCUCAACCUGGGAACUGCAUCUGAUACUGGCAAGCUUGAGUCUCGUAGAGGGGGGUAGAAUUCCAGGUGUAGCGGUGAAAUGCGUAGAGAUCUGGAGGAAUACCGGUGGCGAAGGCGGCCCCCUGGACGAAGACUGACGCUCAGGUGCGAAAGCGUGGGGAGCAAACAGGAUUAGAUACCCUGGUAGUCCACGCCGUAAACGAUGUCGACUUGGAGGUUGUGCCCUUGAGGCGUGGCUUCCGGAGCUAACGCGUUAAGUCGACCGCCUGGGGAGUACGGCCGCAAGGUUAAAACUCAAAUGAAUUGACGGGGGCCCGCACAAGCGGUGGAGCAUGUGGUUUAAUUCGAUGCAACGCGAAGAACCUUACCUGGUCUUGACAUCCACGGAAGUUUUCAGAGAUGAGAAUGUGCCUUCGGGAACCGUGAGACAGGUGCUGCAUGGCUGUCGUCAGCUCGUGUUGUGAAAUGUUGGGUUAAGUCCCGCAACGAGCGCAACCCUUAUCCUUUGUUGCCAGCGGUCCGGCCGGGAACUCAAAGGAGACUGCCAGUGAUAAACUGGAGGAAGGUGGGGAUGACGUCAAGUCAUCAUGCCCUUACGACCAGGGCUACACACGGGCUACAAUGGCGCAUACAAAGAGAAGCGACCUCGCGAGAGCAAGCGGACCUCAUAAAGUGCGUCGUAGUCCGGAUUGGAGUCUGCAACUCGACUCCAUGAAGUCGGAAUCGCUAGUAAUCGUGGAUCAGAAUGCCACGGUGAAUACGUUCCCGGGCCUUGUACACACCGCCCGUCACACCAUGGGAGUGGGUUGCAAAAGAAGUAGGUAGCUUAACCUUCGGGAGGGCGCUUACCACUUUGUGAUUCAUGACUGGGGUGAAGUCGUAACAAGGUAACCGUAGGGGAACCUGCGGUUG